CCAUCUUUCACCUGGGAGAUGACCUUGGAAGUGUUUUGAGCAGAUGUAGUUUUGGCCCACCGGAUCAGCAUUCCACACAGCUUAAAAAUGUGGAACUAGUUGCAUGAAGCAUCUAGAGAAAUAUCCCAAAGGAGUGAAUGAUGCUGCAGCUACCAAAAGCUCCAUUCCAUGGAGAAGGUGUCCAAAGAAGCAUGACCCAGGAUCGUCAGGGCUUGCUGAGCACUCUGGGAUCAGUGGAUGGCUGGGCCACCACAGUCCUUUUUCACAACACCUCAAGGAGCAAUGCCAGCCCUGGGCUGACCAUGCAGCAACUCAAUGCCAGUGGGAUGGAGCUGCCUGCCAACAUCUUGGCUGAGGAGGCAGGAGGAAGGUGAACUUGGAGGACCCUGGGUGCGUUUGGAGGGAUCAAGGAAUUAAAACCUGGCAUGGUGUCAAAGAAGAUGAAAACACCUUCAGGCCUCCAGAAAGGAGAAGGAUGUGGGAGGCUGAGCAACCAUGCCCCUUCCCAAAAGAAGGACACCAGUUACAUCACAGUUUUCAAACUCAAGAGCAAGCAGCUUGUUAACAUUAUAUUUAUCAAAUAAGAAACCUUCCUUCUAGAGUUGUUAAAAGACUGGAGAACAGAGAUGAAAAUGUGUGGAUGGGUUCAUCAUUUGAGAUGAUGUGAUCUACAGUGCUUCAGAGGUCCCAGUGACUGAAAAUAGCUGUGCCCUCCAAUUCUCUCUUCAUCCAGUAGGUUAGAGUCAUACCAGGACUUCCACAGUACAGUGCCAAGAGAAGGAGGAGGAUUCCAGUCAGAGCCGAGAACUGCCACAGAAGCGGAGCUCCCCAGGCCCCACGGCUCUGCUCCAGCUUCAUCUGCUCCAGAGUGAACCGAGUCAUCUGCUGCUCCAGGUACUCGGCACGCUGCUGCAUGCGCUCCAGCGCGGCCUCAUCCAGCCCAUCGCCGGCCUGCUGCGGGUACUGGAGGAGGGCUUGCGCAAGCAAGAAAAUGAGCUGAACGGCCAGCAUGGCCUUAAGGAGCUCCUACCCUUUAACAGCUGGUCUGACCUGGUUGUCCAGACUCUCACCAAAAGAAGGAAGAGAUGGUGUCCACCCCAGAGGGCAUAAAAUCUGGAUCUAAAAUAGUUUAACAGGCUGAGCAUUGAAGUAAAGACUGCAUUUCAAGCAGAGAGCUGCUGAUGGAGCUGUUCUGGCUGGAGAGGAGGAAGAUGAGACCAGAACUGAGCUCUGGGAUCCAUCUCGUAUUUCACACUGCUGAGAUCUGAAAAAUGGCAUCUGGGUUCCUGGCUUUGUAGAGAAGGGAGAUUCACAAACCUAGGAAAGGAUGACAGCACUCCAGUGAGACAAACCCUCUUAUGUUCUUCUUCUGCCCAGCAGAGAGAAAGAAAGAUUCUUCUUGUCACAGAUAUGAGCAUCUGAGGUUAUGCUCCAGCUUUGAAUCUCUGAGUCUUUUCCCACUGUCCCUACUGUGAGCCUAGAAAACCCAGGUUUGCUAGGCUGUUAUCUGUUUUUUGAGCCCUUCUUCCACCCAUUCAUUUUAGUGAAUGCUGUACAGCUGAUCCUGACUCAGUCAGAUCUCUUCCCUGUGCUGUACCUUCUCAGCAGUAGACAAGC
Melospiza melodia melodia is the source of this 1617-nucleotide long non-coding RNA. RefSeq lists it as uncharacterized. The record is from RefSeq and is a predicted model, not a curated record. Lineage: Eukaryota; Metazoa; Chordata; Aves; Passeriformes; Passerellidae. The transcript is spliced from 8 exons.